GUUUCCGUAGAGAAGUGGUCAUCUCUAGCGCCUAACACGCGCAAGAUUCCCAGUUCGAUCCUGGGGGGCAACG
RNAcentral lists this transfer RNA (73 nucleotides) under Paramuricea clavata. Its description in RNAcentral is "tRNA-Val". Lineage: Eukaryota; Metazoa; Cnidaria; Anthozoa; Malacalcyonacea; Plexauridae. The record is from RNAcentral.